AGUAGGGAAUCUUCGGCAAUGGACGGAAGUCUGACCGAGCAACGCCGCGUGAGUGAAGAAGGUUUUCGGAUCGUAAAGCUCUGUUGUAAGAGAAGAACGAGUGUGAGAGUGGAAAGUUCACACUGUGACGGUAUCUUACCAGAAAGGGACGGCUAACUACGUGCCAGCAGCCGCGGUAAUACGUAGGUCCCGAGCGUUGUCCGGAUUUAUUGGGCGUAAAGCGAGCGCAGGCGGUUAGAUAAGUCUGAAGUUAAAGGCUGUGGCUUAACCAUAGUACGCUUUGGAAACUGUUUAACUUGAGUGCAAGAGGGGAGAGUGGAAUUCCAUGUGUAGCGGUGAAAUGCGUAGAUAUAUGGAGGAACACCGGUGGCGAAAGCGGCUCUCUGGCUUGUAACUGACGCUGAGGCUCGAAAGCGUGGGGAGCAAA
Molecule: ribosomal RNA, 427 nt
Filed under: Streptococcus oralis
Lineage: Bacteria; Bacillati; Bacillota; Bacilli; Lactobacillales; Streptococcaceae
Also listed under: 1 other name
Description: bacterial SSU rRNA
Rfam family: Bacterial small subunit ribosomal RNA
Source: RNAcentral